GCGCAUUUCAGUAGCCACACGGAGGAGUGAGCUGAGCGUCAUUCGCGGAGAUGUGUGCUCCUAGGCUCCUAGAUCAGAAGCGGGUUGUGUGACAGAGUCUGAAAACAUGUAACACACGCUGUGUUUCCAACCAUGACCUACUAUCAAAUACUGCAUUCCUUCAGAAGAGGAAGAUGCCUGACACUCUACACUUUAGAAUGUUAUCCCUGAGUGGCUCUUUACCACAGCUGAGAUUCCUUUUCUUUCAGCUCCAGGCUGCCUCCCAGGCUUGAACCUGGACAUGAGAGCCGCAGGCCGGCCCCAACAAUUUGGCAAACCAACUCGGGACCUGGGAAUAGCAGAGGACGAUGGAAGAAACACUG
This 362-nucleotide long non-coding RNA is filed under the name Mus musculus (house mouse). RNAcentral describes it as "predicted gene, 40689". The record is from RNAcentral. Lineage: Eukaryota; Metazoa; Chordata; Mammalia; Rodentia; Muridae.